AAUGCGUAGAUAUCAGGAGGAACACCGGUGGUGUAGACGGCUAUCUGGACCGUAACUGACGCUGAGACACGAAAGCGUGGGUAGCAAACAGGAUUAGAUACCCUGGUAGUCCACGCCCUAAACGAUGCAUAUUUGGUGUGGGCAGUUCAGUCUGUCCGUGCCGGAGCUAACGCGUUAAAUAUGCCGCCUGGGGAGUACAGUCGCAAGGCUGAAACUCAAAGAAAUUGACGGGGGCCCGCACAAGCGGUGGAGCAUGUGGUUCAAUUCGACGCAACGCGAAGAACCUUACCUGGGCUCGAACGGCUGGUCACCGCGGGUGAAAACAUCGGUACCCCGCAAGGGGGUCCAGUCGAGGCGCUGCAUGGCUGUCGUCAGCUCGUGUCGUGAGAUGUUGGGUUAAGUCCCGCAACGAGCGCAACCCUUGUCCUGUGUUGCCAUCAUUCAGUUGGGAACUCGCAGGAGACCGCCAGCGAUAAGCUGGAGGAAGGUGGGGAUGACGUCAAGUCCUCAUGGCCUUUAUGUCCAGGGCUACACACGUGCUACAAUGGCCGGUACAAAGCGCCGCAAACCCGCGAGGGGGAGCCAAUCGCAAAAAGCCGGUCUCAGUUCGGAUUGCAGGCUGCAACCCGCCUGCAUGAAGCUGGAACCGCUAGUAAUGGCAGAUCAGCACGCUGCCGUGAAUACGUUCCCGGGCCUUGUACACACCGCCCGUCACAUCACGAAAGUGGAUUGUACUAGAAGUCUGCGCGCUAACCGCAAGGAGGCAGCGGCCCAAG
RNAcentral lists this ribosomal RNA (776 nucleotides) under uncultured bacterium. RNAcentral describes it as "bacterial SSU rRNA". It matches the Rfam family "Bacterial small subunit ribosomal RNA", at positions 685 to 1461 of the family's 1533-position model. The record is from RNAcentral.